Molecule: ribosomal RNA, 772 nt
Filed under: Bacillus velezensis
Lineage: Bacteria; Bacillati; Bacillota; Bacilli; Caryophanales; Bacillaceae
Description: bacterial SSU rRNA
Source: RNAcentral
UUUUUUWCUCUGCUCAGGACGAACGCUGGCGGCGUGCCUAAUACAUGCAAGUCGAGCGGACAGAUGGGAGCUUGCUCCCUGAUGUUAGCGGCGGACGGGUGAGUAACACGUGGGUAACCUGCCUGUAAGACUGGGAUAACUCCGGGAAACCGGGGCUAAUACCGGAUGGUUGUUUGAACCGCAUGGUUCAGACAUAAAAGGUGGCUUCGGCUACCACUUACAGAUGGACCCGCGGCGCAUUAGCUAGUUGGUGAGGUAACGGCUCACCAAGGCAACGAUGCGUAGCCGACCUGAGAGGGUGAUCGGCCACACUGGGACUGAGACACGGCCCAGACUCCUACGGGAGGCAGCAGUAGGGAAUCUUCCGCAAUGGACGAAAGUCUGACGGAGCAACGCCGCGUGAGUGAUGAAGGUUUUCGGAUCGUAAAGCUCUGUUGUUAGGGAAGAACAAGUGCCGUUCAAAUAGGGCGGCACCUUGACGGUACCUAACCAGAAAGCCACGGCUAACUACGUGCCAGCAGCCGCGGUAAUACGUAGGUGGCAAGCGUUGUCCGGAAUUAUUGGGCGUAAAGGGCUCGCAGGCGGUUUCUUAAGUCUGAUGUGAAAGCCCCCGGCUCAACCGGGGAGGGUCAUUGGAAACUGGGGAACUUGAGUGCAGAAGAGGAGAGUGGAAUUCCACGUGUAGCGGUGAAAUGCGUAGAGAUGUGGAGGAACACCAGUGGCGAAGGCGACUCUCUGGUCUGUAACUGACGCUGAGGAGCGAAAGCGGNNG